This 450-nucleotide ribosomal RNA is filed under the name uncultured bacterium. Its description in RNAcentral is "partial 16S ribosomal RNA". It matches the Rfam family "Bacterial small subunit ribosomal RNA", at positions 354 to 796 of the family's 1533-position model. The record is from RNAcentral.
GUGGGGAAUCUUCCGCAAUGGACGAAAGUCUGACGGAGCAACGCCGCGUGAGUGAUGAAGGUCUUCGGAUUGUAAAGCUCUGUUAAUCGGGACGAAAGAGCCUAGUGUGAAUAAUGCUAGGAAGUGACGGUACCGGAAUAGAAAGCCACGGCUAACUACGUGCCAGCAGCCGCGGUAAUACGUAGGUGGCAAGCGUUGUCCGGAAUUAUUGGGCGUAAAGCGCGCGCAGGCGGAUCUGCCAGUCUGUCUUAAAAGUCCGGGGCUUAACCCCGUGAUGGGUAGGAAACUACAGAUCUAGAGUAUCGGAGAAGAAAAUGAAAUUCCUAGUGUAGCGGUGAAAUGCGUAGAUAUUAGGAAGAACACCAGUGGCGAAGGCGACUUUCUGGACGAUGUCUGACGCUGAGGCGCGAAAGCUAGGGGAGCGAACGGGAUUAGAAACCCGAGUAGUCC